Molecule: small nucleolar RNA, 278 nt
Filed under: Helianthus annuus (common sunflower)
Lineage: Eukaryota; Viridiplantae; Streptophyta; Magnoliopsida; Asterales; Asteraceae
Source: RNAcentral
GGUUCGAUGCCACGUCGCUGGUAGCUAAAGUUGCAAUGACCGACGAUGCUAUGAUUGAACCGAUAUUAAGUUUUUUCGUUUCGCAAUUUAUAGGAACCUGUGAACUGUUAAAUUCCCGUUCAUUCACAGAGCCGGUUUUUGCGACUACAUUUUAUUGUAGUUCAAAUUGUUGUUUAAUUGAUUGAAAAAGUUGAAAGCCAAUGAUGAUGUAAAUUAAAAAAUGUUGGAAUUACCGACUGAAUUUGUUUUGAUGAUAACUAGGCUGCCUGAGGCUUUUU